GAUCAGCUACGCCACGGUGAAUACGUUCCCGGGCCUUGUACACACCGCCCGUCACGCCAUGGAAGCUGUGAGCGCCCGAAGUCCGUGUCGGAACCUGUGCAAACAGGACCAAGCGGCCGAAGGCGAGCGCAGUGACUGGGGCGAAGUCGUAACAAGGUAGCCGUAGGGGAACCUGCGGCUGGAUCACCUCCUUAACGGA
RNAcentral lists this ribosomal RNA (199 nucleotides) under Gemmatimonadaceae bacterium. RNAcentral describes it as "partial 16S ribosomal RNA". It matches the Rfam family "Bacterial small subunit ribosomal RNA", at positions 1347 to 1533 of the family's 1533-position model. Lineage: Bacteria; Pseudomonadati; Gemmatimonadota; Gemmatimonadia; Gemmatimonadales; Gemmatimonadaceae. The record is from RNAcentral.